AACGAACGCUGGCGGCAUGCCUAACACAUGCAAGUCGAACGACACCUUCGGGUCUAGUGGCGCACGGGUGCGUAACGCGUGGGAACCUGCCCUUAGGUUCGGAAUAACUCCCCGAAAGGGGUGCUAAUACCGGAUAAUGUCUUCGGACCACAGAUUUAUCGCCCUUGGAUGGGCCCGCGUUGGAUUAGCUAGUUGGUAGGGUAAAAGCCUACCAAGGCGACGAUCCAUAGCUGGUCUGAGAGGAUGAUCAGCCACACUGGGACUGGGACACGGCCCAGAAUCUUACGGGAUGCAGCAGUGGGGAAUAUUGGACAAUGGGCGAAAGCCUGAUCCAGCAAUGCCGCGUGAGUGAUGAAGGCCUUAGGGUUGUAAAGCUCUUUUACACGGGAUGAUAAUGACAGUACCGGGAGAAUAAGCUCCGGCUAACUCCGUG
Molecule: ribosomal RNA, 433 nt
Filed under: uncultured bacterium
Lineage: Bacteria
Description: partial 16S ribosomal RNA
Rfam family: Bacterial small subunit ribosomal RNA
Source: RNAcentral